This 1369-nucleotide ribosomal RNA is filed under the name uncultured bacterium. RNAcentral's name for it is "bacterial SSU rRNA". It matches the Rfam family "Bacterial small subunit ribosomal RNA", at positions 28 to 1381 of the family's 1533-position model. The record is from RNAcentral.
GACGAACGCUGGCGGCGUGCCUAAUACAUGCAAGUAGAACGCUGAAGAGAGGAGCUUGCUCUUCUUGGAUGAGUUGCGAACGGGUGAGUAACGCGUAGGUAACCUGCCUUGUAGCGGGGGAUAACUAUUGGAAACGAUAGCUAAUACCGCAUAACAAUGGAUGACCCAUGUCAUUUAUUUGAAAGGGGCAAAUGCUCCACUACAAGAUGGACCUGCGUUGUAUUAGCUAGUAGGUGAGGUAACGGCUCACCUAGGCGACGAUACAUAGCCGACCUGAGAGGGUGAUCGGCCACACUGGGACUGAGACACGGCCCAGACUCCUACGGGAGGCAGCAGUAGGGAAUCUUCGGCAAUGGGGGCAACCCUGACCGAGCAACGCCGCGUGAGUGAAGAAGGUUUUCGGAUCGUAAAGCUCUGUUGUAAGUCAAGAACGAGUGUGAGAGUGGAAAGUUCACACUGUGACGGUAGCUUACCAGAAAGGGACGGCUAACUACGUGCCAGCAGCCGCGGUAAUACGUAGGUCCCGAGCGUUGUCCGGAUUUAUUGGGCGUAAAGCGAGCGCAGGCGGUUUGAUAAGUCUGAAGUUAAAGGCUGUGGCUCAACCAUAGUUCGCUUUGGAAACUGUCAAACUUGAGUGCAGAAGGGGAGAGUGGAAUUCCAUGUGUAGCGGUGAAAUGCGUAGAUAUAUGGAGGAACACCGGUGGCGAAAGCGGCUCUCUGGUCUGUAACUGACGCUGAGGCUCGAAAGCGUGGGGAGCGAACAGGAUUAGAUACCCUGGUAGUCCACGCCGUAAACGAUGAGUGCUAGGUGUUGGAUCCUUUCCGGGAUUCAGUGCCGCAGCUAACGCAUUAAGCACUCCGCCUGGGGAGUACGACCGCAAGGUUGAAACUCAAAGGAAUUGACGGGGGCCCGCACAAGCGGUGGAGCAUGUGGUUUAAUUCGAAGCAACGCGAAGAACCUUACCAGGUCUUGACAUCCCGAUGCUAUUUCUAGAGAUAGAAAGUUACUUCGGUACAUCGGUGACAGGUGGUGCAUGGUUGUCGUCAGCUCGUGUCGUGAGAUGUUGGGUUAAGUCCCGCAACGAGCGCAACCCCUAUUGUUAGUUGCCAUCAUUCAGUUGGGCACUCUAGCGAGACUGCCGGUAAUAAACCGGAGGAAGGUGGGGAUGACGUCAAAUCAUCAUGCCCCUUAUGACCUGGGCUACACACGUGCUACAAUGGUUGGUACAACGAGUUGCGAGUCGGUGACGGCAAGCUAAUCUCUUAAAGCCAAUCUCAGUUCGGGUUGUAGGCUGCAACUCGCCUACAUGAAGUCGGAAUCGCUAGUAAUCGCGGAUCAGCACGCCGCGGUGAAUACGUUCCCGGGCCU